RNAcentral lists this ribosomal RNA (301 nucleotides) under uncultured bacterium. RNAcentral describes it as "partial 16S ribosomal RNA". It matches the Rfam family "Bacterial small subunit ribosomal RNA", at positions 509 to 807 of the family's 1533-position model. The record is from RNAcentral.
CAGUAGCCGCGGUAAUACGUAGGUGGCAAGCGUUGUCCGGAAUUAUUGGGCGUAAAGGGCUCGCAGGCGGUUUCUUAAGUCUGAUGUGAAAGCCCCCGGCUCAACCGGGGAGGGUCAUUGGAAACUGGGAAACUUGAGUGCAGAAGAGGAGAGUGGAAUUCCACGUGUAGCGGUGAAAUGCGUAGAGAUGUGGAGGAACACCAGUGGCGAAGGCGACUCUCUGGUCCGUAACUGACGCUGAGGAGCGAAAGCGUGGGGAGCGAACAGGAUUAGAUACCCCUGUAGUCCCUGUCUCUUAUAC